Cydia amplana is the source of this 442-nucleotide long non-coding RNA. RefSeq lists it as uncharacterized. Lineage: Eukaryota; Metazoa; Arthropoda; Insecta; Lepidoptera; Tortricidae. The transcript has 3 exons. The record is from RefSeq and is a predicted model, not a curated record.
CGGCCGACGCGAUUCCGUAACUUCUCUUGUUGUCAUCGUCGAAAUCCACUUCUAAACGUAUUGAAUUAAAUUCCAUUCAAAUAGUUUUCUGAUUGUUUUAGUCAGAACAAUGCUAUAAGUUUAGCCGUUUUAGUUCAGUUUCGUUUGCCCACGCGCGUUUCGAGUGUUUACAAAGUUUGUUUGAUUUGGUGGCAAGUUAAAAAGUAGGUAGGUACGUAUUUUAACAGUGCAAGUGUGUGUUUGUGCCCGUGAACUUGUGGAUUCUGUGCUGAAUUGACUGAAAUAAAUCUUCUGCUGCUGCCAGCUAGGUCUUCAGCAGGACCGCUGGAGGCGCGGAAGGUCCGGUUUCAAGAGUGCUGGAGGAGUGACGGCCUCAAGCUGGCUUCGUCGGGCUCGGGUAGCCCGGCGCCGCCGGUGCAGUGGCGCGUGCGACGAAAGCCAG